This 62-nucleotide ribosomal RNA is filed under the name Psettarium nolani. RNAcentral's name for it is "partial 28S ribosomal RNA". It matches the Rfam family "Eukaryotic large subunit ribosomal RNA", at positions 1 to 63 of the family's 3401-position model. The record is from RNAcentral. Lineage: Eukaryota; Metazoa; Platyhelminthes; Trematoda; Strigeidida; Aporocotylidae. RNAcentral also lists the same sequence under 1 other name.
AACCUCGAAUCAGACGUGAAUACCCGCUGAACUUAAGCAUAUCACUAAGCGGAGGAAAAGAA